UACAUGGGGUGCAAACGUUGCUCGGAAUUAUUGGGCGUAAAGCGCACGUAGGCGGUUCGUUAAGUCGGAUGUGAAAGCCCUCGGCUCAACUGAGGAAGUGCACCCGAAACUGGCGAGCUUGAGUACGAAAGAGGAUCGCGGAAUUCCCGGUGUAGAGGUGAAAUUCGUAGAUAUCGGGAGGAACACCGGUGGCGAAGGCGGCGAUCUGGGUCGAUACUGACGCUGAGGUGCGAAAGCGUGGGGAGCAAAGCAGG
RNAcentral lists this ribosomal RNA (254 nucleotides) under uncultured bacterium. RNAcentral's name for it is "partial 16S ribosomal RNA". It matches the Rfam family "Bacterial small subunit ribosomal RNA", at positions 524 to 777 of the family's 1533-position model. The record is from RNAcentral.